RNAcentral lists this transfer RNA (72 nucleotides) under Bos taurus (domestic cattle). It matches the Rfam family "tRNA". From Rfam's summary of the family: Transfer RNA (tRNA) molecules are approximately 80 nucleotides in length. Their secondary structure includes four short double-helical elements and three loops (D, anti-codon, and T loops). Further hydrogen bonds mediate the characteristic L-shaped molecular structure. tRNAs have two regions of fundamental functional importance: the anti-codon, which is responsible for specific mRNA codon recognition, and the 3' end, to which the tRNAs corresponding amino acid is attached (by aminoacyl-tRNA synthetases). tRNAs cope with the degeneracy of the genetic code in two manners: having more than one tRNA (with a specific anti-codon) for a particular amino acid; and 'wobble' base-pairing, i.e. permitting non-standard base-pairing at the 3rd anti-codon position. RNAcentral also lists the same sequence under 2 other names. Lineage: Eukaryota; Metazoa; Chordata; Mammalia; Artiodactyla; Bovidae. The record is from Rfam by way of RNAcentral.
UCCCUUGUGGCUUAGCUGGUAAAGAAUCUGCCUGCAAUGCAGGAGACCUAGGUUCAAUCCCUGGGUUGUGAA